GAAAUAAUAAAUUAAAGAAUAAGCUUCUAACUUAAUUCUUAAGCAUUGAAAUAUGUUUUUAUUUCU
Molecule: transfer RNA, 66 nt
Filed under: Aphthona strigosa
Lineage: Eukaryota; Metazoa; Arthropoda; Insecta; Coleoptera; Chrysomelidae
Description: tRNA-Ser
Source: RNAcentral